This 274-nucleotide ribosomal RNA is filed under the name uncultured bacterium. Its description in RNAcentral is "partial 16S ribosomal RNA". It matches the Rfam family "Bacterial small subunit ribosomal RNA", at positions 523 to 796 of the family's 1533-position model. The record is from RNAcentral.
AUACUGAGGGUGCAAGCGUUAAUCGGAAUUACUGGGCGUAAAGCGAGUGUAGGCGGCUAUGUAAGUCGGAUGUGAAAGCCCUGGGCUCAACCUGGGAAUGCCAUUCGAAACUGCGUAGCUAGAGUCUAAGAGAGGGAAGUGGAAUUCCAGGUGUAGCGGUGAAAUGCGUAGAGAUCUGGAGGAACAUCAGUGGCGAAGGCGGCUUCCUGGCUUAAGACUGACGCUGAGGCUCGAAAGCGUGGGGAGCAAACAGGAUUAGAAACCCCAGUAGUCC